CCUACGGGUAGCUGCAGUGAGGAAUAUUGGUCAAUGGGCGCGAGCCUGAACCAGCCAAGUCGCGUGAGGGAAGACGGCCCUACGGGUUGUAAACCUCUUUUGCCGGGGAGCAACGGGCGCCACGUGUGGCGCCACUGAGAGUACCCGGAGAAAAAGCAUCGGCUAACUCCGUGCCAGCAGCCGCGGUAAUACGGAGGAUGCGAGCGUUAUCCGGAUUUAUUGGGUUUGAAGGGUGCGUAGGCGGAGCGUUAAGUCAGUGGUCAAAUUGAGGGGCUCAACCCCUUCCCGCCAUUGAAACUGGCGCUCUUGAGUGGAAGAGAAGUAAGCGGAAUGCGUGGUGUAGCGGUGAAAUGCAUAGAUAUCACGCAGAACCCCGAUUGCGAAGGCAGCAUGCUGGCUUCCUACUGACGCUGAAGCACGAAAGCGUGGGGAGCGAACAGGAUUAGAUACCCUUGUAGUC
RNAcentral lists this ribosomal RNA (460 nucleotides) under uncultured bacterium. RNAcentral's name for it is "partial 16S ribosomal RNA". It matches the Rfam family "Bacterial small subunit ribosomal RNA", at positions 338 to 795 of the family's 1533-position model. The record is from RNAcentral.